RNAcentral lists this ribosomal RNA (488 nucleotides) under Veillonella atypica. RNAcentral's name for it is "bacterial SSU rRNA". It matches the Rfam family "Bacterial small subunit ribosomal RNA", at positions 28 to 485 of the family's 1533-position model. The record is from RNAcentral. Lineage: Bacteria; Bacillati; Bacillota; Negativicutes; Veillonellales; Veillonellaceae.
GACGAACGCUGGCGGCGUGCUUAACACAUGCAAGUCGAACGAAGAGAGAUGGAAGCUUGCUUCUAUGGAUCUUAGUGGCGAACGGGUGAGUAACGCGUAAUCAACCUGCCCUUCAGAGGGGGACAACAGUUGGAAACGACUGCUAAUACCGCAUACGAUCUAAUUUCGGCAUCGAGAUUAGAUGAAAGGUGGCCUCUAUUUAUAAGCUAUCACUGAAGGAGGGGAUUGCGUCUGAUUAGCUAGUUGGAGGGGUAACGGCCCACCAAGGCGAUGAUCAGUAGCCGGUCUGAGAGGAUGAACGGCCACAUUGGGACUGAGACACGGCCCAGACUCCUACGGGAGGCAGCAGUGGGGAAUCUUCCGCAAUGGACGAAAGUCUGACGGAGCAACGCCGCGUGAGUGAUGACGGCCUUCGGGUUGUAGAGCUCUGUUAAUCGGGACGAAUGGUUCUUGUGCGAAUAGUGCGAGGAUUUGACGGACCCGGAAUA